Molecule: ribosomal RNA, 253 nt
Filed under: uncultured bacterium
Lineage: Bacteria
Description: partial 16S ribosomal RNA
Rfam family: Bacterial small subunit ribosomal RNA
Source: RNAcentral
UACGAAGGGGGCUAGCGUUGCUCGGAAUCACUGGGCGUAAAGGGUGCGUAGGCGGGUCUUUAAGUCCGGGGUGAAAUCCUGGAGCUCAACUCCAGAACUGCCUUUGAUACUGAAGAUCUUGAGUUCGGGAGAGGUGAGUGGAACUGCGAGUGUAGAGGUGAAAUUCGUAGAUAUUCGCAAGAACACCAGUGGCGAAGGCGGCUCGCUGGCCCGAUACUGACGCUGAGGCACGAAAGCGUGGGGAGCAAACAGG